RNAcentral lists this ribosomal RNA (407 nucleotides) under uncultured bacterium. RNAcentral's name for it is "partial 16S ribosomal RNA". It matches the Rfam family "Bacterial small subunit ribosomal RNA", at positions 30 to 526 of the family's 1533-position model. The record is from RNAcentral.
AUUGAACGCUGGCGGCAGGCCUAACACAUGCAAGUCGAGCGGAUCGGCGGACGGGUGAGUAAUGCCUAGGACUCUGCCUGGUCGUGGGGGAUGACGUCCGGAACCGGGCGCUAAUACCGCAUCCUAUCAGAUGAGCCUAGGUCGGAUUAGAUAGUUGGUGGGGUAAAGGCCUACAAAGGCGACGAUCCGUAACUGGUCUGAGAGGAUGAUCAGUCACACUGGAACGGAGACACGGUCCAGACUCCUACGGGAGGCAGCAGUGGGGAAUAUUGGACAAUGGGCGAAAGCCUGAUGCAGCCAUGCCGAGUGUGUGAAGAAGGUCUUCGGAUUGUAAAGCACUUUAAGUUGGGAGGCGUUACCAACAGAAUAAGCACCGGCUAACUUCGUGCCAGCCGCCGCGGUAAUUC